UAGGGAAUCUUCGGCAAUGGGGGGAACCCUGACCGAGCAACGCCGCGUGAGUGAAGAAGGUUUUCGGAUCGUAAAGCUCUGUUGUUAAGGAAGAACGAGUGUGAGAAUGGAAAGUUCAUGCUGUGACGGUACUUAACCAGAAAGGGACGGCUAACUACGUGCCAGCAGCCGCGGUAAUACGUAGGUCCCGAGCGUUGUCCGGAUUUAUUGGGCGUAAAGCGAGCGCAGGCGGUUAGAAAAGUCUGAAGUGAAAUGCAGUGGCUCAACCAUUGUAGGCUUUGGAAACUGUUUAACUUGAGUGCAGAAGGGGAGAGUGGAAUUCCAUGUGUAGCGGUGAAAUGCGUAGAUAUAUGGAGGAACACCGGUGGCGAAAGCGGCUCUCUGGUCUGUAACUGACGCUGAGGCUCGAAAGCGUGGGGAGCGAACAGG
RNAcentral lists this ribosomal RNA (429 nucleotides) under Bacteroidota bacterium. RNAcentral describes it as "Bacteroidetes bacterium partial 16S ribosomal RNA". It matches the Rfam family "Bacterial small subunit ribosomal RNA", at positions 355 to 776 of the family's 1533-position model. Lineage: Bacteria; Pseudomonadati; Bacteroidota. The record is from RNAcentral. RNAcentral also lists the same sequence under 1 other name.